Molecule: long non-coding RNA, 219 nt
Filed under: Lathyrus oleraceus (garden pea)
Lineage: Eukaryota; Viridiplantae; Streptophyta; Magnoliopsida; Fabales; Fabaceae
Description: Pisum sativum (pea) long non-coding RNA (PSAT_LNC033751)
Source: RNAcentral
AACGCACUCCUGUGGAUCCCCUCCUUUGGGCCUAGAGCAAUUUUCUAGCUAUUCCCCCAAUUUUCAGUUUGUUUUUGUCUUUUUAUUUUUUAUUUUUUAUUUUUUAUUUUUUAUUUUUUAUUGCUUUAUUUUUUUGUUUUUUCUUUUCUUUUAUUUAGGUUUUUAAUUCUUUUACUUCUUUUAUUGUUCCUUUUCUCUUUUUUUAUUGUUUUAUUUUUU